Molecule: ribosomal RNA, 394 nt
Filed under: uncultured bacterium
Lineage: Bacteria
Description: partial 16S ribosomal RNA
Rfam family: Bacterial small subunit ribosomal RNA
Source: RNAcentral
AUACGUAGGGAGCGAGCGUUGUCCGGAAUUACUGGGCGUAAAGGGCGCGUAGGCGGCGCUUCAAGUCGUCUGUCAAAUGGGAGGGCUUAACCCUUUUUCGCAGACGAAACUGGAGAGCUUGAGAAGCAGAGAGGCAAACAGAAUUCCUGGUGUAGCGGUGAAAUGCGUAGAUAUCAGGAAGAAUACCAGUGGCGAAGGCGGUUUGCUGGCUGCAUACUGACGCUGAAGCGCGAAAGCCAGGGGAGCAAACGGGAUUAGAUACCCCGGUAGUCCUGGCAGUAAACGAUGUAUGCUGGGUGUGGGAGUAGCGAUACCUCCGUGCCGAAGUUAACGCGAUAAGCAUACCGCCUGGGGAGUACGGUCGCAAGAUUGAAACUUAAAGGAAUUGACGGGG